Molecule: ribosomal RNA, 251 nt
Filed under: uncultured prokaryote
Description: partial 16S rRNA
Rfam family: Bacterial small subunit ribosomal RNA
Source: RNAcentral
ACGGAGGGUGCAAGCGUUACUCGGAAUCACUGGGCGUAAAGAGCGUGUAGGCGGGUAUUUAAGUCAGAAGUGAAAUCCAAUAGCUUAACUUUUGAACUGCUUUUGAAACUGUAUACCUAGAAUGGGGGAGAGGGAGAGGGAAUUUCUGGUGGGGGGGUAAAAUCCGGAGAGAGCAGAAGGAAGAAAGAUUGCGAAGGAGAUAUAAUGGAACAUUAUUGACGCUGAGACGAGAAAGAGUGGGGAGCAAACAG